Cricetulus griseus (Chinese hamster) is the source of this 149-nucleotide small nuclear RNA. Its record names the gene U1. It matches the Rfam family "U1 spliceosomal RNA". From Rfam's summary of the family: U1 is a small nuclear RNA (snRNA) component of the spliceosome (involved in pre-mRNA splicing). Lineage: Eukaryota; Metazoa; Chordata; Mammalia; Rodentia; Cricetidae. The record is from Ensembl.
AUGCUUCUACCUGGCAGGGAAUUUCAUGGUGAUAUGGUUUUCCCUGAGUGAGGCUCAUCCAUUGAAUCUGAAUGUCCAAACCCCUGUUAUUUCCCCAAAUACAGGAAUCUGGGCAAAACUAUUUGUGGUAGUGGGAGAGGGAACUCACU